RNAcentral lists this ribosomal RNA (253 nucleotides) under uncultured bacterium. RNAcentral describes it as "partial 16S ribosomal RNA". It matches the Rfam family "Bacterial small subunit ribosomal RNA", at positions 524 to 776 of the family's 1533-position model. The record is from RNAcentral.
UACGGAGGAUGCAAGCGUUAUCCGGAAUUACUGGGCGUAAAGCGUGCGCAGGCGGCUUUGCAAGACAGAUGUGAAAUCCCCGGGCUUAACCUGGGAACUGCAUUUGUGACUGCAAGGCUGGAGUGCGGCAGAGGGGGAUGGAAUUCCGCGUGUAGCAGUGAAAUGCGUAGAUAUGCGGAGGAACACCGAUGGCGAAGGCAAUCCCCUGGGCCUGCACUGACGCUCAUGCACGAAAGCGUGGGGAGCAAACAGG